UUUAUGGAGAGUUUGAUCCUGGCUCAGAGUGAACGCUGGCGGCGUGCCUAAUACAUGCAAGUCGAACGAUGAAGCUUCUAGCUUGCUAGAAGUGGAUUAGUGGCGCACGGGUGAGUAACGCAUAGGUCAUGUGCCUCUUAGUUUGGGAUAGCCAUUGGAAACGAUGAUUAAUACCAGAUACUCCCUACGGGGGAAAGAUUUAUCGCUAAGAGAUCAGCCUAUGUCCUAUCAGCUUGUUGGUAAGGUAAUGGCUUACCAAGGCUAUGACGGGUAUCCGGCCUGAGAGGGUGAACGGACACACUGGAACUGAGACACGGUCCAGACUCCUACGGGAGGCAGCAGUAGGGAAUAUUGCUCAAUGGGGGAAACCCUGAAGCAGCAACGCCGCGUGGAGGAUGAAGGUUUUAGGAUUGUAAACUCCUUUUGUUAGAGAAGAUAAUGACGGUAUCUAACGAAUAAGCACCGGCUAACUCCGUGCCAGCAGCCGCGGUAAUACGGAGGGUGCAAGCGUUACUCGGAAUCACUGGGCGUAAAGAGCGCGUAGGCGGGAUAGUCAGUCAGGUGUGAAAUCCUAUGGCUUAACCAUAGAACUGCAUUUGAAACUACUAUUCUAGAGUGUGGGAGAGGUAGGUGGAAUUCUUGGUGUAGGGGUAAAAUCCGUAGAGAUCAAGAGGAAUACUCAUUGCGAAGGCGACCUGCUGGAACAUUACUGACGCUGAUUGCGCGAAAGCGUGGGGAGCAAACAGGAUUAGAUACCCUGGUAGUCCACGCCCUAAACGAUGGAUGCUAGUUGUUGGAGGGCUUAGUCUCUCCAGUAAUGCAGCUAACGCAUUAAGCAUCCCGCCUGGGGAGUACGGUCGCAAGAUUAAAACUCAAAGGAAUAGACGGGGACCCGCACAAGCGGUGGAGCAUGUGGUUUAAUUCGAGGAUACACGAAGAACCUUACCUAGGCUUGACAUUGAGAGAAUCCGCUAGAAAUAGUGGAGUGUCUAGCUUGCUAGACCUUGAAAACAGGUGCUGCACGGCUGUCGUCAGCUCGUGUCGUGAGAUGUUGGGUUAAGUCCCGCAACGAGCGCAACCCCCUUUCUUAGUUGCUAACAGGUCAUGCUGAGAACUCUAAGGAUACUGCCUCCGUAAGGAGGAGGAAGGUGGGGACGACGUCAAGUCAUCAUGGCCCUUACGCCUAGGGCUACACACGUGCUACAAUGGGGUGCACAAAGAGAAGCAAUACUGCGAAGUGGAGCCAAUCUUCAAAACGCCUCUCAGUUCGGAUUGUAGGCUGCAACUCGCCUGCAUGAAGCUGGAAUCGCUAGUAAUCGCAAAUCAGCCAUGUUGCGGUGAAUACGUUCCCGGGUCUUGUACUCACCGCCCGUCACACCAUGGGAGUUGUGUUUGCCUUAAGUCAGGAUGCUAAAUUGGCUACUGCCCACGGCACACACAGCGACUGGGGUGAAGUCGUAACAAGGUAACCGUAGGUGAACCUGCGGUUGGAUCACCUCCUUUCUAGA
This 1508-nucleotide ribosomal RNA is filed under the name Helicobacter pylori. RNAcentral's name for it is "bacterial SSU rRNA". It matches the Rfam family "Bacterial small subunit ribosomal RNA". Lineage: Bacteria; Pseudomonadati; Campylobacterota; Epsilonproteobacteria; Campylobacterales; Helicobacteraceae. The record is from RNAcentral.